Molecule: non-coding RNA, 206 nt
Organism: Paramuricea clavata
Lineage: Eukaryota; Metazoa; Cnidaria; Anthozoa; Malacalcyonacea; Plexauridae
Source: the annotation of a GenBank genome assembly
GCUGAGCUAGCUGCCUCGCGAGGCGGUUAGCUCAUCAAGUUGCUCUCGUGUGCGGCGGGCUUAAAGCCCGGCGCACACUAGAGCUAUGUGCUUAGCAAAAUGUCAUUCGUGACUGUUGGCGUAAGGAGAAAGCUCUCGUGUGCGGUGCACUUUUGCAAGUUUUUCGUCACUCGUGACGCGUAAGACAAAUAUCCAACGUGUUGAAU